AUGUCGGUGACAGCUGCUUGUACUGCUUUUGCUGAUAUAUCACUGUUCCAGAUGGGCCGGAGGUCCAAGCUGUCCUCGCCAGCAGCUGCGAUAGAUGGAGCUUCUUCCUCAACUAUGGUGCCCGUGAAGAAGGUGCCCGCACUCAACACGGCGUACAAUUCGGGGAUGCUGCAUUCCAUCGCCGGAGACUGGAAUCCAAACAUCAAAGGUGUGUUUUCCGGGAUAGGCAUGGAGGAGCUGUGCAAGAUCAAGGACAUGGGCAACAAUAACCGUAUCUUUAGCAUGUCCAUGUUAGCUAGGAUAGAUCCUAAAGAUAUGAAGAUGUAUAUGGGCGAUGGGAAUCAUGUUAUUGUCAAUUAUAGGGAGGUGGCGAAAUGUUUAGGGUUGUCGCCGUGUGGUAGGAAGAUAGAUAUCCCGGGCGGGGUUUACUUAGCGAACAGGGAAGGCUUGCUAGAGAACUUGCAUGCCAUCUUAGACACCACCAUGUCUAGGGCAAGUAGGAUCCCUGUCGUCAAAGUGAAGAAAAUCAUACAAAACGCAAGCAAGGUAGCGAUUGUAGGAGCAGAAAAGGAGAAGAUGAUAGUGGCAUGUACAAUCAUAGCCGCUUCAACAUUUCUCCUGCCUAGGGGAGCACACCCCAAAAUUGCCAAUGAAAUCCUUCCGGUCCUAGCUGAGCCGACCCAAAUCUCCGAUUACGAUUUCUGUGAUUAUGUUGUGGAGGGGUUGAGAGAGGGUGCUGCCAAGCUUAGGGAGGAUCUCCUGCAUGACCCAUCUCAGCUGAGUCUCCAAGGGUGCCUUGUCAUCCCUCAGAUCAUUUUCUAUGAUUACCAUGAACACGGGAUGGAGGGACGAGAGACCCUGUCGUUCCCUCGCUUGGCCUCGUACUCGGAUCUGAUGAUGAAACUGCAGAUUCGCAAGCAUGCAGCAAGGCAUGGUGUGGCCGCUGGAUUUGAGGCAGUGGAUGUCCCCAGGUCGCCGGUAAUCAAUGCCGUUUGUGGGAGCGCAACUCAAGAACAUGGCUGGGCCACGCCAAGUUCUAGUGUGCAUGCUCCUCCUACUGGAUUUCGUGUGGACCAUGCGACAGAGAUACCACGAGAGAUUCUUGAUGCGUUCAAGGAGGCAGUGGAGCAUCAACUGAAGCAGCGUGAGCAGGAAUUCAUGAAGAUGGUAGAGGAGACACAAGUCAAAGUGCUUGUAGAAAUCAAGAGCAAGGCAGAUGCUAAACGGCACAGAGACCCGGAGGACACGCUUGGCGAUUUCAUGGAUCGAGUGAAGAGGCAAGCUCCGAUGGCUGCCGCAUUUCCUAAUGUGAGCCAAACCUCGCAUCGGCCCAGGGUAAGUACAGAUAUUACGCAAGAUCUGGCUGAAACCUCAAGGGAAGCUGCUAGGGCUUUGAUGUCAGUAGUUGUAGUUAAUGAAGAGCCACGUGGCAACCCAGAGACGAGUGCGGUGGCGGGUGCAUCAACGCGUGUGCAAGAAACUGACAUCAACUCACAAGCUGCAGUGCAUGUAAGUGCAUAUGGGAAAGAUGUUGCUGUGCAGGCUGGUGUUGAUGAACCAAUGGAGAAGACUAUGAUCGUGGACCACAAAUGA
RNAcentral lists this ribosomal RNA (1593 nucleotides) under Triticum aestivum (bread wheat). Its description in RNAcentral is "partial small subunit ribosomal RNA". Lineage: Eukaryota; Viridiplantae; Streptophyta; Magnoliopsida; Poales; Poaceae. The record is from RNAcentral.